UGCUAGUCAUUGCGUGUGAUCGAACUAUUAGUAGUGAAUAAGGUAGUUGUUUAAACAUAGUUGAAACACCUUUUUACGUUUAUCACAUUGCUGGGGACAAUACUGUCCUCCACUUUGUUUAUUUUAUUCUUAUGUUUAAUUUUUAUAUAAAUAAAAAAGCUGUAUAAGAAAAAAUUAAAUAAAAUGACUUUAUUUUUAUAAGACCAAUUAGUGUAAAUUAUUCAAUAAUGGUUUUAAUAAUAUUAUUACUAUUAUUGCCUGAGAAUUGUUAAAUGAAUUAAUCAUUCAAUUAAUAAAUUCUAUAAGCUUGCGGGGUAGUGUGAUAUUUUCACAAAUACAUAGAAAGUUAAUUCACUAAGUGUUUAUAAAAGAGAACAACGGCUAGGUGGCAGUUUAUGCGGGGCACAGAUCCCAUAAAGAGUAGCUGGGUAUAUCCUAAUUCUGAAAAAUUAAGGGAAAAAAUUUUUUUUUCUUUUAGUUUUUAUUUAAUAUAUAAAUUUUAUAUAAAUUUAAGAUAUGAUUUCUUAAGACGAAUUUAUAUAUAAGCGAAUAUGAUAUAUUACUUAUUCCUAUAUGUAUUUAAUCACUAUCUUUUUAUUUAAAGUAAAAUCUAAAAAUUUAAUGCAAGUAAGAUUUUAACUAUAUUGACAAUAGCUGUAAUAAAUAAAAUUAACAUUUUUAGGAGAUGUAAUAUGUAUUUAAAGUUGCUAAAAUCCAAUAUACCAAUAUUGUGAAUAGUGAUUUUGAUAAUUACUUGUCAAGUUUAAUGGCAUAAUCUUGCUUAACUGUUUGACCUACACGUCUAUCAGUCGUGUAAGCGGGGCUGUAUGAUCACGAAAUGUAUAUGAUG
Molecule: ribosomal RNA, 850 nt
Filed under: Dactylella sp.
Lineage: Eukaryota; Fungi; Ascomycota; Orbiliomycetes; Orbiliales; Orbiliaceae
Description: partial large subunit ribosomal RNA
Source: RNAcentral